GGAGCUGAUGAUGAUGAC
RNAcentral lists this non-coding RNA (18 nucleotides) under Arabidopsis thaliana (thale cress). Lineage: Eukaryota; Viridiplantae; Streptophyta; Magnoliopsida; Brassicales; Brassicaceae. The record is from RNAcentral.